AUACUUACCUGGUAGGGGAGAUACUAUGACUUAAAGUUGGUUUCCCAGGGUGAGACUCACCCAUUGCACUGAUGACCCCUGCAAUUUCCCCAAAUAUGGGGAAACUCAACUGCAUAAUUUGUGAUAGUGGGGGAACUGUGUUCAGGCUCUCCCCUG
RNAcentral lists this small nuclear RNA (156 nucleotides) under Sorex araneus (European shrew). Its description in RNAcentral is "U1 spliceosomal RNA (ENSSARG00000014808.1)". It matches the Rfam family "U1 spliceosomal RNA". Rfam says of the family: U1 is a small nuclear RNA (snRNA) component of the spliceosome (involved in pre-mRNA splicing). Its 5' end forms complementary base pairs with the 5' splice junction, thus defining the 5' donor site of an intron. There are significant differences in sequence and secondary structure between metazoan and yeast U1 snRNAs, the latter being much longer (568 nucleotides as compared to 164 nucleotides in human). Lineage: Eukaryota; Metazoa; Chordata; Mammalia; Eulipotyphla; Soricidae. The record is from RNAcentral.